CCUUCGAUAGCUCAGCUGGUAGAGCGGAGGACUGUAGACGCAAGUCCGCGGCCAUCCUUAGGUCGCUGGUUCGAUUCCGGCUCGAAGGA
Transfer RNA from Sus scrofa (pig), 89 nucleotides. It matches the Rfam family "tRNA". From Rfam's summary of the family: Transfer RNA (tRNA) molecules are approximately 80 nucleotides in length. Lineage: Eukaryota; Metazoa; Chordata; Mammalia; Artiodactyla; Suidae. The record is from Rfam.